Populus euphratica (Euphrates poplar) is the source of this 204-nucleotide long non-coding RNA. RefSeq lists it as uncharacterized. The transcript has 2 exons. Lineage: Eukaryota; Viridiplantae; Streptophyta; Magnoliopsida; Malpighiales; Salicaceae. The record is from RefSeq and is a predicted model, not a curated record.
UGGCGGCGGCGAUUCUUCUUCCAUGGUUGUUCGUGGUGGUUGGAGGUGGAUAAGGGAAUGACACAGCGCGGGAGGUACGAAAAAAAAAAAUGAAAGAAUAUGAAACUGCAGAGUUUAGGAAUAAAACAAUAUCAUGAGGAAUUUUAUUUUCUUGUUGCUCAAUGGUAACAUUCAAGCAAGCUAUUAGACUAAUCAGUACUUUGC